Molecule: long non-coding RNA, 8982 nt
Filed under: Podarcis lilfordi (Lilford's wall lizard)
Lineage: Eukaryota; Metazoa; Chordata; Lepidosauria; Squamata; Lacertidae
Source: RNAcentral
CAGUGCAGUGUUGCAGCGGCGUAGCGUGGGUUGUCAGCACCCGGGGCAAGGCAAGUAAUUUGCACCCCCUAACCCGGGGCAAGGCAAGUAAUUUGCGCCCCCUAACCCCUAACCUGCUGCCGCUGCCAGCUUCUUCUUGCUGCUGCCUGGGCUGGUCUGGUGUGGUUCUCUCCUGCGCUCAGCGCUGCGCUGGGCGGCCGCUGCACUGUCCCUCCCCCAGAUAGUCCCUCCCUCUCUCUCCGCACCACACGCCUGGCACCCACCCCCUCCACAGUGGGCGGCGACCCAGCGGCUCGGAUCGGAUUCGCACAGCCAGCACUGCAGUGAGAGAGAGUGAGUGAGCCAGGUAGGGGCAGAGAGCUGCGAGUGCGAGCGCGCCCCCCCCCCAGAUGUUGCGCCCGGCGCGGCCGGCCCCCCCUCACCCCCCACGCUACGCCACUGCAGUGUUGCUACCUAAAUAGCUUUUCUCCAGUUUGUCUUCUUCUGAACGCUCAGGCCCUGUUUUGUUUUGGGGUUUUUUAAUGACCCAUUUGUUGGUGAGAACUUCAGUACAUAACACCAUUCUUCCAAGUUUCUUUUAAAAUGAAAAAUAGCAACUCAAGUCAAGGAGAGAAAAAUUAAAAAUUUAGUUCCCUGCAUUUUUUCCUAGCUCCUACCAGAAAUAAAAUGCAAGCAAUACAGUUCAUUUGCUUGGAUGAAACAGGGAGUGAUCUUCUCCCUGUUUCCAUUUUAAAAAAAAGAUGUUUACUGACCUUAUUACCCGGCCUUUGAUCGCUGUGUCCUGCAAACACUUAUGCACUUGAAUAAGCUUACGCAUGCAAAUAGUUCUCCUGAAGUUAGUCAAGUGCAUAAGCGUUUGCCAAAUUGGGCCCUAAGAGAACUAAAUACAGGUCCCUCUGGACCCCACCAAUACUGUUUGUAUGUCAGCCAGAGGGAAUCUCCCAGGAGUGAUGCAACAUUCUCCUCUCCAGAGGCUGAGCAUACAUUUUAUGCAGCACUGCACUAACUCAUGCCCACUUAGGAAAUCCAAGUUUGGAAGCCAGUAUUCUAAAUGGCUUUGAGUUCAUUUUAUUUCUCAUUUUUGGGAUUCCCCCCCCCCCCCAUUAGGGCUGCCAUACGACUGGAUUUUCCUGGACAUUACUGGGAUUUCAAAGGUGGAAUUGACGUCCAGGGGGGAUUUCUGAAAGGCGGUGCUCUGCCCUAGAUCUAAGACGAGCCCAUCAAAAUAUUGCACUUUUUUGUAAAUAAAUAAAUAAAUAAAUAAAUAAAUAAAUAAAUAGCUUAACAAUUGGGGGGUUUCCAAAAAAUAUGACAACCUACGCAUUUCUGCAUUCUCUGUCAAAAUUGGCCCCUCCAAGCUAACAGCUAAAAGGUACCUUUCUGACUGUAAAACGUCUUUCUCUCAAGUAAUACAUUAAGAUAUGAUAAUACUAAUAAAAUGAUAAACAACAGAGAAGUUGAACUCACAAAUAACAGAAAAGCACAAUGUUCAGACCCACUGUGCAUGGCCAAUUGUUAUUUUCGAGGCACAAGUUCCCCAAUACACCAGGCCUGCACAAAACAAUUGGUUUUUUAAAAAAAAUAAAUCUAAAAUGUGUAUGCCGUGCCCAGAUCCGCCAGCAGGCCACGGAGGACCAUCUCGCCAACAGAAUGAGGGGCUGUGGUGAUCGAUGGUGCCCAGCAAAACAUCACUACAUUCAUUUUAAAGAACACUCACCAUCUUGCACUUCACUGCAUCCACAGUUGGGUAAUAUGCUAUUUUAUGCUGAAUUUGUGUCCCUGCCACCACCACCUUAUCAUAUUAUCCACAGAUCAGGAAAAUCCAAAUUGUUAUUUAUAUAUAUAUAUAUUUAAAAAUUAUAUAUGGAUGUUUUAUGAUGGCCUAUAUUUGGGGACGCGGGUGGCGCUGUGGUCUAAACCACUAAGCCUCUUGGGCUUGCCGAUCACAAAGUUGGUGGUUCGAAUCCCCGCAACGGGGUGAGCUCCCGUUGCUCAGUCCCAGCUCCUGCCAACCUAGCAGUUCAAAAGCACCCCAGAAAGUGCAAGUAGAUAAAUAGGUACCGCUCUGGCGGGAAGGUAAAUGGCAUUUCUGUGCGCUGCUCUGGUGUCGGUGUUCUGUUGCGCCAGAAGCAGCUUAGUCAUGCUGGCCACAGGACCCAGAAAAACUGUCUGCGGACAAACGCCGGCUCCCUCGGCCUAUAAAGCGAGAUGAGUGCUGCAAUCCCAGAGUCGUUCGCGACUGUACUUAACUGUCAGGGGUCCUUUACCUUUACCUUUAUAUUUGCAAUGCCUAACAAAGAAAGCUUGUGAGAAAAUCCAAAUUAAACAGGGAGGACAUUCAGGCUGUCACUUGGAUGAUGACAUUGUGGAUGCAAAAAGCAUGCAUACAUGGGAUACUUAGGAUCUGUUUUAAACUGCUGUGUAUAUCUAAAAAAAACCAACCAACUACUAGUGUUCAUGGAGUAUCACCAACCUGUGUGGAUAUUCUUUGUAUUCUUGCAGCGCUGGAAAGAAUUCUAGUUCUCAACUUGAUUAACCCCAAGACAGAUUUGUCAUUUGAUGCUUUCCUAAUGCCCUGAAAUCUAAGCCAUCCCCCAGUUAUUAAUUGGUAGCUACCAUUUUUUCAUUGUAACUCAACUCAUGGCAUGUUGAUUUUUCUGGGACUUACCUCCUAUUGGUAUUGGAUUUGGUACAGAAUAUUUUUAUAUCUAUGGUGAAAAAAUGAGAUCCACAAUUGUACUCCUUAGAGUGCAGGUGUGGGUGAAGAUGGUUCAAACCCAGAAGUGGUUUUUAGUGCAAUUUAGAAAAGAAAAACAGUUUAUUCCGAGUCAGGUCACUUGGAAUUUUAAAUAUAAUAAAAGAAAAUGUUCUGUGUAUCUUAGAAUGGCAAUGGCGCCCACUUGAGAGGUGCCAGAACUGAGUUCUGUUGAGUUCCAGCUGGGGGAAAAGCCUUGGUCUCCAGAGACAAUGCAGUGAACCUCUGGGGGUGAAGUGAUGUAUGAUCAAGUUGAGAUUCCUGCACUGCAAGAGGGUUGGACUAGAUGACCCUUGGGAUCCCUUCCAAGUCUAUAAUUCUAGGAUUCUAUAUAUUUUGCCCUGGCAUCUAGUUUUCUAUCUGCAUGGAUAUCUUUGGAAGAGCAUACAGUCUUGUGAGCCCCAUAGUUUUGUGAGACUGUAUAUGUAUUUUUUAAAUGCCUGUAACUAUAUGUGCACAUUUCAAGUGGGCAAUUUAUCCAAAAGAAAGUAAGUGCUCCAUUUUACAAUUCAUGCUUGGGGAUAUUCUAAAUUAAAAGAAAAUAGCUGACUGAAACUUCGGGAGAUCACACCAUCAAGGAUCUACUUGUGUUCAAAUCCCUGCAGCGAUUUUGGCAAAAUACAGCGAAGAUACUUGGCUAAACACUCUCAAUGUAGCCUCAAAGUAGCACAACUGCCUUGGUGACAGCAAAGGACCAAAGAAAAACAACAUGAUGCAAAAGGAAAGAGAAACUCUGUCAUAUUAAAUUUCUGAUAAAAACAGAAGAGGUUAUGAACACAGCAGAAGAAUGAGGUACGUCGACGCUACCAAAAGGAAAUGGAGCUGGAAACGAAACACUUUUAUAACAAGAUGACUGCUGACAACACUACAGAAAGUAGGUGACAGCGUUUCAAAGUCAAGACAUGCUACAUACUUGCUGAUGUGUUUACAACACAGAUGAAAGGAUAGUCUCGAGAUUUCACGAGAAAUAUCAGAUGACACCUUUGACGUUGAUAAAGUUAUUAAAACAUUUCCUUGGAUAAAACCCAUCAAGGUAAACUUUAUAAUUUGCAUACUCAAUCUAGAGCAGUGGCUUAUGGUCUUUUACCUUUCUGUUAUAAUUCUUAUAACAUUAUGUAUGGAGUUCUUUACUCUCUUUUUUAUUAUUCUCAAAUAUCAACAAGGAUGUGAGUACAGUAGUUUUCUGUUAGCAGGUUCUCUUCAAGAGGUGUAUGGACGAAAGCCUCCUCCACUAGCUGAACAAGGCCUAAAUUAAAGAACAAAUGAUGAUAUUGUCUAUUUUCAGAACAAGAGCUGAUAACCAGCAUCUUGGGCGGGGGGGAAUAUUAUGUACUCUCUCCCACUCUUGAAAUUUUUCACCUCUGUUCCCUUGUCUAUUUCCUUGUCUAGGGUUGCCAUGUUUCAAAAAGUAAAAAUCAGGACAACCCAAAAGCGUUUUUAAGGAAACCCCCCAAACUGUUGAGCUUUCCCCAAAGUUGUUUACAAAACCGUCAAAAGCAAUUUUUCAAUUGACUUGUCUAAGAUCCAGGACCAAGCGACACCUUUCAGAAAUUCCCACCCGAAUUUGUUGUGUUGUGUUGACUCUAUUUCCAAACUAAUUGUGUGCUCUGUGAAGGCAAGGCUGGAAAAUAGUACUUAAACUGAAACAAAAUACCACCUCCCUUUUCUCUAACAAAUCAGAAAGAAUAGACAAUCUUGUAAUCGGAGCUCAUCGUCACUAAUGGAUGCUGAAGGUAAAGGUAAAGGGACCCCUGACCAUUAGGUCCAGUCAUGGCCGACUCUGGGGUUGCGGCGCUCAUCUCGCUUUAUUGACUGAGGGAGCCGGCGUACAGCUUCUGGGUCAUGUGGCCAGCAUGACUAAGUCACUUCUGGUGAACCAGAGCAGCGCACAGAAACGCUGUUUACCUUCCCGCUGGAGCGGUACCUAUUUAUCUACUUGCACUUUGACAUGCUUUCGAACUGCUAGGUUGGCAGGAGCAGGGACCGAGCAACGGGAGCUCACCCCGUCAUGGGGAUUCGAACCGCCAACCUUCUGAUCAGCAAGUCCUAGGCUCUGUGGUUUAACCCAGAAGUGGCUUAGUCAUGUUGGCUACAUGACCCGGAAAAACUGUCUGCGGACAAACGUCAGCUCCUUUGGCCAGUAUAGCUAGAUGAGCGCCAAAACCCCAGUUGUUCUUUACCUUUUUACCUUUACUCAAAUAGUACUGGGCCGAGUGAGGCUCCAGUCCAAAGAACUCCAUGAGUAGUGCUAUGUAUCUAAGGGGCCUUUGAGCUUCUAAUUCCUGCAAAGUAGCCCCAAAGCCACAUGUCAAAGGGAUGAACAGAAGGAGUCUGGGGUCUUCUCAAGCUCUGGGGCGUUCCUUACAGUUCUUUGGAUCUCAGCCUGAGCUUUCAAAGGAAAUAGGAGAAAGCUUCCAUUCCCUAUGUGAUUCUAUGCAUGUUCACUGCAUAUAUAAUUGUUGGUUGGUUGUUUAGUCGUUUAGUCGUGACCGACUCUUCGUGACCCCAUGGACCAGAGCACGCCAGGCACUCCUGUCUUCCACUGCCUCCUGCAGUUUAGUCAAACUCAUGCUGGUAGCUUCGAGAACACUGUCCAACCAUCUCAUCCUCUGUCGUCCCCUUCUCCUUGUGCCCUCCAUCUUUCCCAACAUCAGGGUCUUUUCAGGGAGUCUUCUCUUCUCAUGAGGUGGCCAAAGUAUUGGAGCCUCAGCUUCAUGAUCUGUCCUUCCAGUGAGCACUCAGUGCUGAUUUUCUUAGGAAUGGAUAGGUUUGAUCUUCUUGCAGUCCAUGGGACUCUCAAGAGUCUCCUCCAGCACCGUAAUUCAAAAGCAUCAAUUCUUUGGCAAUCAGCCUUCUUUAUGGUCCAGCUCUCACUUCCAUACAUCACUACUGGAAAAACCAUAGCUUUAACUAUACGGACCUUUGUUGGCAAGGUGAUGUCUCUGCUUUUUAAGAUGCUGUCUAGAUAUAUAAUUGUACUUUUGAGAAAACAUGCAUAUCUUUUGCCUGCAAUCCUAUAAGCAUUUAUUCUGGAACUGAGACUCUCUGAACUGGAUGGGAUUUGAUUCAGGCCAGGACAAACCUACACAGGGUCAGGAUGCUCCUUCCAAAUAGAAUAGUUAUAGAGGUCAAAGGAUUGCUGUGAGCACUAUACCUCACAUCAACGUUCUCACAACUGUCCUGACAUCCUGCAUUGCUGUGGAUAGUGGAUGCAUGAAGGCAGAGACAGAGGGAUUUCUGCAGCACAAUUUUGCUUUUUAAAUAGAAUUCAUAAGAAGGAAAUUAACAUCACAUAAAUAUCUUGUCAUAAGUAUUCGGCAAAGGUUAUACUGUUUGCCUGUAUCCUAUCAAAAUCUAUUAUGUUACCUGAGCAAUGCCGGAAGAUAUGCAAGAGCAAAUGCUGAAGAUCAAAAUUACCCAAGAGUAACUUGUCACUAUCAUCAUUUCAGUGAAGUAUAUCACUUAAUCCUUUCCCUUUCUUUCUCCUUUGCCAUACUUAAACAGAUGUAACUGUUGCCAAAGUAGUACUCCCUGCUCACCUUGCAGGAAAACUGUAGAACUACUUAGGAUGCACAAUGAUUUUAAAAUGCAAAUGCUUUAAGUGUGCUGCUUAUACGGAAAAUAAAUGCUGCCUAUGAAAACUGCAUGUUCCAGAUGUUUACGUGUCUGGGUAUAUAUAUUAUUCAAAUACUAGUUGUGAGAACUUUGUGAACACAUACAUGAUUCAUGUCACUUUUGAUUACGGCUCCACUUGAAACAUAAGGUCACCAGCAAAACAAAAGAUAAAGUAUAUGCAAGUGCGACAUGCAACAAAAUGUUGCAGCGUGGACUGUGCAGUCCAAGAUUCCAGCCAUUUUGUUCCAGUUUGUUAGUGUUCCAUCAUGGCCAUGCACAUUCAGAACAACUACUACCAGACUUUUAGAAGACAUCUGAAGGCAGCCCUGUUUAGAGAAGCUUUUAAUGUUUGAUGUAUUACAGUAUUUUAAUAUUUCUUUGGAAGCCGCCCAGAGUGGCUGGGGAAAUUAUUAUUAUUAUUAUUUGGGCAGCUUGGGGUUCCCAUGGGACUCUUACUCCUCCCAGGUUUUUUUGUAUUUCUGCAAACCUAGGGUUCGCCCCUAGCUUGCCGAGACCAUUUUGCUCCAUGACAAACAUAGCCUGAACAUCAGAAAUGGAGGAAAUGGACCUCAUCACCCCAGCUUAAUAAAGUUUGUAUCGUUUACAUGGAAUAGAAAAGAUGGGAAGGCAACUAAUUCUCCUACACAUGACAUCCUAAGAUCUGAACAAACUCUAUAGACCUGUGCCCCAAAUUUUGGGUAGUGAGAGAUUCUUGACUUACCGGUAAGUAUUGCUGAAUUGUACUUUUCAAGCUUAGGGUAUUGCUUUAGAUGCAAGGCCCCAAACCACUGUUUGCACCACUGCAGCUAAACACCAAGUCAAAGGAAAGAAAAUAAUGCUCAUAUGACUACUGCCCAUCAAAAUUUCAAGCACUGUCUAAAAUUCACACCCAGGAAAAUGAUGCCUCAAUCAUAAUGUUGGGCUUAUUAUUUACCAUCCAUACACUUUGUGAUUGUUAUAUGCCACUGUGAUCUCAAAAACAUUUUUCUCCCUUCAUAAUCUGGUACUUACUGAUACCUUUUGAGAAUAUAAGCUUCUUUGUCCUUCCCUGUCCCCACCCCCAACAUCUUUCGCCUUUAUUUGCUUUUUUCUAUUAUUCUCCGAAUUCCUAAGUCUAAAUUCCACCCUCUCUUCUUUUAUCUAUAGGGUAACCUUCAACCUAUAUUCUAAGGUGCAGAGGCUUCUGUGGUGGAAGGAUUUAAGACAGGCAUGUCUCCUUGGGCAACAUAAGUAGAGACAGCAGGAGAAUCAAGGAAAACACGCCGUUAGAAUAAUUCCCUUCAGAGAAAUCAGGAUGCCAAACCGUUCCUUCCAGCUACCGCUCUCAUAGAGAGAAUAUUUAUUCAUUGGUAGAUGAGCUUCAGCAGGCACUCAACACUGGAAUUUGAAUUUCUAGCUUCUACUGAUGCCUCUGAUUUUCCUGGGGAAUAGAAAGGGAGGGGGGAAAUCAGUAGAGUGAGUGCUAAGAGUUUGAUCCAAAAGUUCGGGUCUGUUAACACAAAGCAUUUGAUAUUUCAGCUGAUCCCAGGCUGUACGUCAUUCCUGAACUCCUUGCUGUCCUCUGAACAAUUUUACAGAUUCCUUAGGUACAUCUGCACUGGCGCAAAUUGGGCAGUUUUGCAUUACCUAUACACUGUUGCACAUCCAGCCAAUUCUAUUUGUACCACUCGUUGGUUGUCUGUUACAUAAACACCACAGUACAGUUGAGUCAUGCGAUCCACACUAUAGUCUGGUCACUUCUGCAACUGCUGUUGUAAAUACAAUGAGAUGAUACAAUCAACCUAGGCUCCAUUCCUGUUAUGACUUAAAUAGUCUCUUUGAGCUGUGUUACAUUGAAUUAUAACCCUUCUUAUCUCAAGGACUUUAGGAUGGACUACUGGCUGUCAAUAUCUUCCAAGCCCAGUGCUUAUGCUGACAUUUAAAACCCGGAAUGGUGGGAGACCCAAAUAGAGAAUAUCUUUUCCCAUGCCAUCCUGCACAUUUUUUAAGAUCAGCAAUGGGCAAGGUCAGCAGUGCAGCAGCCCGAGGUAGGGCUUUUUCAGUGGAAGCUCCAAAGCUCUGGAAUGAUCUCUACACUUAAGGUGAAUCUCACCUGGACAUUAUACUCUUAUGGGAAGAUGCUGAAGAAACACACUUAUGCUAGAUUUCUGGAGUUAAGAAGCUAAAAUUUAUUCGAAGUCAGUUUUGUAUUUUACUCAUUGCUAUUUUAUGUUAUGCCAUUUGUAGUUUGUACUGAUGUUUUCAUUGGUUGCAGAAACAUGUAUCAGUGUGCUUUAAUAUGUUGCCCAGUGAAUGUACAGGGAAGAACAGUAUGUAAAUAUCCAAAUAAUAUAAAAGCUUUAAUUGUGUACUGCACAAGAAGCUGCAGCUGGUGAUAUUCCAGGCCCGCCACCAAUUCUAGUCUAAAUAAAGACUAACUAUAAAACUCAAAACUGUUUGUUUGAGAGAAGAAAGCUUGAUUUACUUCCAGCUGAACAGGCUCUCAGGGUGAAUAUUCCUCAAGAGGCUAGAAAGACAAGAUUUCACAAGCUGCAGUUGCUUUGAAAUUUCAGUUACAUUUUGCAUAUUUUAUUAAAAUGUCAUUUUAAUAUAUUUCUCUUGCAGUAUUAUUU